Long non-coding RNA from Ipomoea nil (Japanese morning glory), 1345 nucleotides. RefSeq lists it as uncharacterized. The transcript is spliced from 4 exons. The record is from RefSeq and is a predicted model, not a curated record. Lineage: Eukaryota; Viridiplantae; Streptophyta; Magnoliopsida; Solanales; Convolvulaceae.
ACCGCAGCACAAAGGAACACUCUGGAUUGAGUGUUUUUGUGAGAGAAGGGAAGGUCCGGUAGUUUUAUACGCGUGACGUAAUAUACUUCGUAGAGUAACCGUAUAUGGUGACAUAGGGAUGCAACUGCAAGUGGGCUUUGGCCGUACCCAAAUAUAAAGAGCUAACAACAUUUACAGCGCCACCAAAAGGUGCUAACACCAUUAUCUAAUCUUUUAUAUUUCCAAAUUGGGGCCCGGUUUGAUUCGCCAAACAAUUCGAAUUUGAAUGGAUCGCCGUCUAUACUUAAUUACUUGAUCGUGUCUAAUCCGGCGGGAAGAGCCGGCGCCGCUGUUUUAUCCCUGGCGGAGGCUUCUCCGCUGCCGUAUCAUCGGUUUCUCCGCCGACGUUGUCUGUGAUCGGCGAUCGCCACCUUCAUCGCAGCUCGUAAAGCUAUUAUCGGCUUCUCGCUGAUCUCACGAGGGUUGAGGCUUUUGGGCUUUUCAAAGGGGUGGUUGGAUUAUGUUUCUUUAAAUUCUGCAGUAUUGGCAAAUGAGUACUAGUGGAUCAACUGCUUUUCUAACAUGCAGGACUCUCAAUGCAUGUAUUAAAUAUGGUAAUUGUGAUCCCACAGGUGUUAUGAUUAUUAAAAUGUGCUGAACGAUGAGGUAAAAUUCAUGGCCCCCCAAACCUGUUUUGGAAUUCGGGUUAUGAUUUUCUUGAAGUUUGUUUCAGCCAAAGAUGUUAGAAUAUAUUUUAUUUAAAAGCAGAAAAUUCAGUGCUUUUGUUGUUUGAGGAGAUGAUGUCUACUGUCACCGCAUCUGUUUCUGAUUCUGUUUUCUGCUUCUGCUUUGCUCUGUUCUGUUCUGUUCUUUUUCCCUUGGCGUUUGCAGGCACACACACAAACACACAGAGAGGAGAGCAAAAGGCCCCCCACUUGGAGACGUUCUCAUCCCUUGUUCUGAAAAAUGGAUACAAAAUUCAAAUGGUUGGAAAUGCAGCACGUAUGGGGAAGAAAUUAAAAAUUAAAAAUAAAAUAAAGGAUGGGUUUGUUUGUUUUUACAGUUAUAUAUAUAUAUAUAUUUUUUAAUUUAAUUUUCAGUGUGUUUCCUUUCUCCCGUCUGCCGGUUCUCCAUACAGCCAUCUACUGCUACUGUCACCCUCCAUUAACCUUGGUGGUCCCUCUGCAGUUUUGCAUGAUGAUAAUGGAUGAUGGUGGUGGUGAUGAUGAUGAUGAACUACCAUGGUACCAUUCCCCUUCUCUCUCUCUCACGUACCACUACAAAUUUGGAUAAGCUUUAAAGCUAACCACUCGGUAAUUUGAAAUGAAUCCACUCUAGUGAUAUAAUCUGUCUUUUAAGUAUACAU